RNAcentral lists this ribosomal RNA (466 nucleotides) under uncultured bacterium. RNAcentral's name for it is "bacterial SSU rRNA". It matches the Rfam family "Bacterial small subunit ribosomal RNA", at positions 329 to 793 of the family's 1533-position model. The record is from RNAcentral.
UUCCAGACUCCUACGGGAGGCAGCAGUGAGGAAUAUUGGUCAAUGGGCGCGAGCCUGAACCAGCCAAGUCGCGUGAGGGAUGACGGCCCUACGGGUUGUAAACCUCUUUUGUCAGGGAGCAAAGGGCGCCACGUGUGGCGCUUUGCGAGUACCUGAAGAAAAAGCGUCGGCUAACUCCGUGCCAGCAGCCGCGGUAAUACGGAGGAUGCGAGCGUUAUCCGGAUUUAUUGGGUUUAAAGGGUGCGCAGGCGGAAUGUCAAGUCAGCGGUAAAAUUUCGGGGCUCAACCCCGUCGUGCCGUUGAAACUGGCGUUCUUGAGUGAGCGAGAAGUAUGCGGAAUGCGUGGUGUAGCGGUGAAAUGCAUAGAUAUCACGCAGAACUCCGAUUGCGAAGGCAGCAUACCGGCGCUCAACUGACGCUCAUGCACGAAAGCGUGGGUAUCGAACAGGAUUAGAUACCCGGGUAU